GACGAACGCUGGCGACGUGCCUAAUACAUGCAAGUAGAACGCACAGUUUAUACCGUAGCUUGCUACACCAUAGACUGUGAGUUGCGAACGGGUGAGUAACGCGUAGGUAACCUGCCUGGUAGCGGGGGAUAACUAUUGGAAACGAUAGCUAAUACCGCAUAAUAUUGAUUAUUGCAUGAUAAUUGAUUGAAAGAUGCUAUUGCAUCACUACCAGAUGGACCUGCGUUGUAUUAGCUAGUAGGUGAGGUAACGGCUCACCUAGGCGACGAUACAUAGCCGACCUGAGAGGGUGAUCGGCCACACUGGGACUGAGACACGGCCCAGACUCCUACGGGAGGCAGCAGUAGGGAAUCUUCGGCAAUGGACGAAAGUCUGACCGAGCAACGCCGCGUGAGUGAAGAAGGUUUUCGGAUCGUAAAGCUCUGUUGUAAGAGAAGAACGGGUGUGAGAGUGGAAAGUUCACACUGUGACGGUAUCUUACCAGAAAGGGACGGCUAACUACGUG
RNAcentral lists this ribosomal RNA (505 nucleotides) under uncultured bacterium. RNAcentral's name for it is "partial 16S ribosomal RNA". It matches the Rfam family "Bacterial small subunit ribosomal RNA", at positions 28 to 507 of the family's 1533-position model. The record is from RNAcentral.